This 1063-nucleotide ribosomal RNA is filed under the name uncultured Aurantimicrobium sp. RNAcentral describes it as "bacterial SSU rRNA". It matches the Rfam family "Bacterial small subunit ribosomal RNA", at positions 407 to 1476 of the family's 1533-position model. The record is from RNAcentral. Lineage: Bacteria; Bacillati; Actinomycetota; Actinomycetes; Micrococcales; Microbacteriaceae.
GAUGACGGGCUUUAGGGUUGUAACCUCUUUUAGCAGGGAAGAAGCGAAAGUUGACGGUACUUGCAGAAAAGCCCGGCUUACUUACGUGCCAGCAGCCGCGGUAAUACGUAGGGCGCAGCGUAUUCCGGAAUUAUUGGGGCGUAAGGAGCUCGUAGGACGGUUUGUCGCGUCUGCUGUGAAAUCCCAGAGACUCAACCUCGGGCCUGCAGUGGGUACGGGCAAGACUAGAGUGCGGUAGGGGAGAUUGGAAUUCCUGGUGUAGCGGUGGAAUGCGCAGAUAUCAGGAGGAACACCGAUGGCGAAGGCAGAUCUCUGGGCCGUAACUGACGCUGAGGAGCGAAAGGGUGGGGAGCAAACAGGCUUAGAUACCCUGGUAGUCCACCCCGUAAACGUUGGGAAACUAGUUGUGGGGACCAUUCCACGGUUUCCGUGACGCAGCUAACGCAUUAAGUUCCCCGCCUGGGGAGUACGGCCGCAAGGCUAAAACUCAAAGGAAUUGACGGGGACCCGCACAAGCGGCGGAGCAUGCGGAUUAAUUCGAUGCAACGCGAAGAACCUUACCAAGGCUUGACAUAUACGAGAACGGGCCAGAAAUGGUCAACUCUUUGGACACUCGUAAACAGGUGGUGCAUGGUUGUCGUCAGCUCGUGUCGUGAGAUGUUGGGUUAAGUCCCGCAACGAGCGCAACCCUCGUUCUAUGUUGCCAGCACGUAAUGGUGGGAACUCAUGGGAUACUGCCGGGGUCAACUCGGAGGAAGGUGGGGAUGACGUCAAAUCAUCAUGCCCCUUAUGUCUUGGGCUUCACGCAUGCUACAAUGGCCGGUACAAAGGGCUGCAAUACCGUAAGGUGGAGCGAAUCCCAAAAAGCCGGUCCCAGUUCGGAUUGAGGUCUGCAACUCGACCUCAUGAAGUCGGAGUCGCUAGUAAUCGCAGAUCAGCAACGCUGCGGUGAAUACGUUCCCGGGUCUUGUACACACCGCCCGUCAAGUCAUGAAAGUCGGUAACACCUGAAGCCGGUGGCCCAACCCUUGUGGAGGAGCCGUCGAACGGUUGAUUGCAUGUC